AAUAGGAUAUUUGCUCUCUGCUAGAUACACAAACGUCAUUUUAAAUGCCCCCCUACUUAAAAUCAAUAGAUGCAAAUCACUGAAAUGGCCCCCUACUUAAAAUUAAUAGAUGCAAAUCACCUUCUCGAAAUCGAAUUAGAAGGCUUCUAUGGAGAUGAUAGGAAGCAAUACAAUCCAAACAACAUCCAAGCAGGAACUAACUUUAUUACUAAUAAUCAAGUUCCUUCCAUAGAUUUUGCUACUGUCCACUGUUACCCAGAUCAAUGGCUAUUUGAUUCAACUGGCGAAGCACAACUCUCCUUCCAUCAGUAGUGGGUGCAUCAACAUAUUUUGGACUCACUAAACAUCCUUAAGAAGCCAGUCGUAUUUGCAGAGUUUGGUAAAUUAUAUAAAGUUGCAAGCUACACCUCAUCUGAUAGAAAUCAACUCUAUAAUAUCACCUACUCUUCCAUCUAUCUAUACAUCAGCUUGCGAAGGGGGGCCUACAACUGAUGGGUUGUUCUAGCCGCUAUUAGCCAACGGAAUGGACAAUUUCCGAGAUGGAUAUGAGAUAGUGCUAGGGGAGGAACCUAACAUUACCGAAAUAAUUUCCGGACAGUCAAAGAAACUUUCCAGAUUAAACAAGCACGCUCCUGGGGAAGCAAGGAACUGAUACAAGUCAUUAGUGUGUCUAGCUAGGGAACAUAUUGGUGUUUUUUUGAAAAAAGCUACUGUAAAAUUUUCAUGUAUAUAUACAGACAUGAGGGAACCUCCUGGUUUAGGUUACCUGAAAUCGUAAUUGUUUCGAUGUUGAAACGGCCUUAA
Molecule: long non-coding RNA, 804 nt
Organism: Beta vulgaris subsp. vulgaris (sugar beet)
Lineage: Eukaryota; Viridiplantae; Streptophyta; Magnoliopsida; Caryophyllales; Amaranthaceae
Exons: 2
Source: RefSeq, a predicted model, not a curated record